CUAAGCACGGUGCCGCGAAGACAC
RNAcentral lists this non-coding RNA (24 nucleotides) under Arabidopsis thaliana (thale cress). The record is from RNAcentral. Lineage: Eukaryota; Viridiplantae; Streptophyta; Magnoliopsida; Brassicales; Brassicaceae.